UGUUUUCCGGCAUUGCCCAUCUCUGUAAGCCCCCCGUCUCGCCCCACCCUGCAGCAACUGUAAUGUAUUUAAACGGUCAAGUUGAUGUAUGCAGUAUAUAUUUUUUUUCCUGCUGUCGCUGAUAUGACUCCAAUUACGGUAAUUCAUUAAAAUAAAUGAGAUAAGUUAAAAAAAAAGGUGAGAAUGCAUUCCUUCUUUUGAGAUACACAGAAAGUGUGGGAGAUCAGGAAAUAAAAUGGGAACUUGUGAAAAGUUUAUUUGCGAAAUGGCAGAUGAGAGUACAAUAAGUUAAGACUCAGGGUCGGGUUAGAUGAGGAGGGGAUCGACCUCGGUAGCCAGUCCUGUGCCAAAGCAGUCGCUCAGACUGCCGGCCAAUGAGUGACAAGAGGGAGGGUCCUCUUUCUCCCAUCACCCCCUCCUGCACUGAGAAAACUGGCGUACCCCCAAUCAGGCGAAGGUAUUUUGGGGAGAUGGAAAUUUAGGAACACGUCCGGAACC
Hippocampus comes (tiger tail seahorse) is the source of this 498-nucleotide long non-coding RNA. RefSeq lists it as uncharacterized. The transcript is spliced from 2 exons. The record is from RefSeq and is a predicted model, not a curated record. NCBI's taxonomy places the organism in Eukaryota, Metazoa, Chordata, Actinopteri, Syngnathiformes, Syngnathidae.